GAUGAAGAACGCAGCGAAAUGCGAUAAGUAAUGUGAAUUGCAGAAUUCAGUGAAUCAUCGAAUCUUUGAACGCACAUUGCGCCCGCCAGUAUUCUGGCGGGCAUGCCUGUUCGAGCGUCAUUUCAACCAUCAAGCCCCAGGCUUGUGUUGGGGACCUGCGGCUGCCGCAGGCCCUGAAAACCAGUGGCGGGCUCGCUGUCAAACCGGGCGUAGUAGAUUUUAUCUCGCUCAGGGCGUGCUGCGGGUUCCGGCCGUUAAAAAGCCUUUUUUACCCAAGGUUGACCUCGGAUCAGGUAGGAAGACCCGCUGAACUUAAGCAUAUCAAUAAGCGGAGGA
Molecule: unclassified non-coding RNA, 336 nt
Filed under: soil metagenome
Description: partial contains 5.8S ribosomal RNA, internal transcribed spacer 2, and large subunit ribosomal RNA
Rfam family: 5.8S ribosomal RNA (bases 1-120)
Source: RNAcentral